AACGAACGCUGGCGGCAUGCCUAACACAUGCAAGUCGAACGAGACCUUCGGGCUUAGUGGCGCAUGCGUGCGUGACGCGGGGGAACCUGCCCUUGAGUUUGGAAUAACUCCCCGAAAGGGGUCCUAAUACGGGCGCAUGUCCCCGAUCCAAAGAUUUAUCGCCUUUGGAUGAGCCCGCGUUGGAUUAGCUUGUUGGUAGGGUAAAAGCCUAUCAAGGCGACGAGGCAUAGCUGGUCAGAGAGGCAGAUCAGCCACACUGGUGCUGGGCCACGGCCCAGACUCCUACGCGAGGGAGCAGUGGGGGAUAUAGCACUGUGGGCGGAGGCCUGAUCCACCACGGACGCGUGAGUGAUGAAGGCCGUGGGGUUGUGAAGCUCUUUUACCCGGGGUGAUAAUGACAGUACCGGGAGAAUAAGCUCCGGCUAACUCCGUG
Molecule: ribosomal RNA, 433 nt
Filed under: uncultured bacterium
Lineage: Bacteria
Description: partial 16S ribosomal RNA
Rfam family: Bacterial small subunit ribosomal RNA
Source: RNAcentral